This 247-nucleotide long non-coding RNA is filed under the name Elaeis guineensis (African oil palm). RNAcentral describes it as "long non-coding RNA (EGUI_LNC021278)". Lineage: Eukaryota; Viridiplantae; Streptophyta; Magnoliopsida; Arecales; Arecaceae. The record is from RNAcentral.
GGGUGGUGAUGUAGUGUAGAGGUGGUAUUCAAAUAGCAUAUACAGUAGUCUGAAAUAGUAGCUACUAAUAUAUUAAAAAUAACAACUUAUUAAAAUAUGAGAACUCUUAUUGAUGUAGUUAGGCCUAGCUUAGUCAAGCCAGAUGGUAGCUUGUAAACUGAUGUUCGCACUACACGCAAGCAUCCGACCUCUAUUGGUAUCCAUACGGAGAUAUCCUGAUCGAACACCAAGGCCACCAAAGUACUAG